RNAcentral lists this ribosomal RNA (382 nucleotides) under uncultured Alphaproteobacteria bacterium. RNAcentral's name for it is "bacterial SSU rRNA". It matches the Rfam family "Bacterial small subunit ribosomal RNA", at positions 49 to 458 of the family's 1533-position model. The record is from RNAcentral. Lineage: Bacteria; Pseudomonadati; Pseudomonadota; Alphaproteobacteria.
UAACACAUGCAAGUCGAACGAAGUAGCAAUACUUAGUGGCAGACGGGUGAGUAACAUGUAGGUAUNUNCCCUUUGGCCUGGAAUAACACGAGGAAACUUGUGCUAAUACCGGAUAAGUCUUUACGGAGAAAGCUUUAUGCACCAUUGGAUGAGCCUGCACUUGAUUAGUUUGUUGGUGGGGUAAUGGCCUACCAAGACUGUGAUCAAUAGCUGAUUUGAGAGGAUGAUCAGCCACAUUGGGACUGAGACACGGCCCAAACUCCUACGGGAGGCAGCAGUGGGGAAUCUUGCACAAUGGAGGAAACUCUGAUGCAGCGAUGCCGCGUGAGUGAAGAAGGCCCUUGGGUUGUAAAGCUCUUUCGUCGGGGAAGAAAAUGACUGU